This is a long non-coding RNA of Lampris incognitus (smalleye Pacific opah), 348 nucleotides long. RefSeq lists it as uncharacterized. The record is from RefSeq and is a predicted model, not a curated record. Lineage: Eukaryota; Metazoa; Chordata; Actinopteri; Lampriformes; Lampridae. The transcript is spliced from 3 exons.
CAACCUGGCUUCCUGCUUCACCGUGUCAGACUGUGAUACUGAGAAGAACUAUGGCUUCCAAAUUCAUACAAAGAGUGCAGUGUUCACUCUCUCUGCAGUGACCUCCAGAGUAAGACGGAACUGGGUGAAGCGACUAAAGCAAACUGUUCAGAAUAACACACACCAAUCAGAUGCUGGAGGCGAGAAAGAGAACCCCCUCUCUCUGAGACCGUCGUCAUGCCAACCGCCUGCGCAGCUCACCUGCAAAGACCUAGACUAUGACACUACAUUUGCUGCCACGGACUCCACCACCACCGCUGCAAAUUCUCAUCGCGCCGAGCACCACCAAGGUGAUUUAAAAGACGUGGA